RNAcentral lists this ribosomal RNA (465 nucleotides) under Vreelandella stevensii. RNAcentral's name for it is "partial 16S ribosomal RNA". It matches the Rfam family "Bacterial small subunit ribosomal RNA", at positions 338 to 795 of the family's 1533-position model. Lineage: Bacteria; Pseudomonadati; Pseudomonadota; Gammaproteobacteria; Oceanospirillales; Halomonadaceae. The record is from RNAcentral.
CCUACGUGAUGCAGCAGUGGGGAAUAUUGGACAAUGGGCGAAAGCCUGAUCCAGCCAUGCCGCGUGUGUGAAGAAGGCCUUCGGGUUGUAAAGCACUUUCAGUGGGGAAGAAAGCCUUGGGGCUAAUACCCUCGAGGAAGGACAUCACCCACAGAAGAAGCACCGGCUAACUCCGUGCCAGCAGCCGCGGUAAUACGGAGGGUGCGAGCGUUAAUCGGAAUUACUGGGCGUAAAGCGCGCGUAGGCGGUCUGAUAAGCCGGUUGUGAAAGCCCCGGGCUCAACCUGGGAACGGCAUCCGGAACUGUCAGGCUAGAGUGCCGGAGAGGAAGGUAGAAUUCCCGGUGUAGCGGUGAAAUGCGUAGAGAUCGGGAGGAAUACCAGUGGCGAAGGCGGCCUUCUGGACUGACACUGACGCUGAGGUGCGAAAGCGUGGGUAGCAAACAGGAUUAGAUACCCCGGUAGUC